RNAcentral lists this ribosomal RNA (699 nucleotides) under uncultured bacterium. Its description in RNAcentral is "bacterial SSU rRNA". It matches the Rfam family "Bacterial small subunit ribosomal RNA", at positions 8 to 705 of the family's 1533-position model. The record is from RNAcentral.
AGAGUUUGAUCCUGGCUCAGAACGAACGCCGGCGGCGCGCCUAACACAUGCAAGUCGAACGAGAGGCUCUUCGGAGUAGUAAAGUGGCAAACGGGUGAGGAAUGCAUGGGUAACCUACCCUUGAGAAGGGAAUAACCCGCCGAAAGGUGAGCUAAUACCCUAUACGCUACACUUUCUAUGGGAGGUGUAGGAAAGCUAAGCCGUGGGUUUGGCACUCAAGGAGGGGCUCAUGUCCUAUCAGCUUGUUGGUAGGGUAACGGCCUACCAAGGCAACGACGGGUAGCUGGUCUGAGAGGAUGAUCAGCCACACUGGCACUGAGAUACGGGCCAGACUCCUACGGGAGGCAGCAGUGAGGAAUAUUGCGCAAUGGGCGAAAGCCUGACGCAGCGACGCCGCGUGGGGGAUGAAGGUUCUCGGAUUGUAAACCCCUUUUGUGAGGAAAGAGAAAGUGGGUAACCACUUAGACGGUACCUCAAGAAAAAGCCACGGCUAACUUCGUGCCAGCAGCCGCGGUAAUACGAAGGUGGCGAGCGUUGUUCGGAUUUACUGGGCGUAAAGAGCACGUAGGCGGUUGGGUAAGCCUCUUGGGAAAGCUCCCGGCUUAACCGGGAAAGGUCGAGAGGAACUACUCAGCUAGAGGACGGGAGAGGAGCGCGGAAUUCCCGGUGUAGCGGUGAAAUGCGUAGAUAUCGGGAAGA